This 106-nucleotide non-coding RNA is filed under the name Bermanella marisrubri. RNAcentral describes it as "TPP riboswitch aptamer (THI element)". It matches the Rfam family "TPP riboswitch aptamer (THI element)". Rfam says of the family: Vitamin B(1) in its active form thiamin pyrophosphate (TPP) is an essential coenzyme that is synthesised by coupling of pyrimidine and thiazole moieties in bacteria. The record is from Rfam by way of RNAcentral. RNAcentral also lists the same sequence under 1 other name. Lineage: Bacteria; Pseudomonadati; Pseudomonadota; Gammaproteobacteria; Oceanospirillales; Oceanospirillaceae.
CAUUAGCUCACGGGGUGCCCAAUGUGCCAUGCGCAUAAGGCUGAGAUUAUGACCCGUAGAACCUGAUCCGACUAGCAUCGGCGUAGGAAUGAGCUAAAUGUAAUAA